GGGGCCAUCCCGGCUUACCAACCCGAUGCAAACUGCGAAUACCGGAGAAUGUUAUCACGGGAGACACACGGCGGGUGCUAACGUCCGUCGUGAAGAGGGAAACAACCCAGACCGCCAGCUAAGGUCCCAAAGUCAUGGUUAAGUGGGAAACGAUGUGGGAAGGCCCAGACAGCCAGGAUGUUGGCUUAGAAGCAGCCAUCAUUUAAAGAAAGCGUAAUAGCUCACUGGUCGAGUCGGCCUGCGCGGAAGAUGUAACGGGGCUAAACCAU
Molecule: ribosomal RNA, 269 nt
Filed under: Salmonella enterica subsp. enterica serovar Muenchen
Lineage: Bacteria; Pseudomonadati; Pseudomonadota; Gammaproteobacteria; Enterobacterales; Enterobacteriaceae
Also listed under: 2 other names
Description: partial 23S ribosomal RNA
Rfam family: Bacterial large subunit ribosomal RNA
Source: RNAcentral